Long non-coding RNA from Chelonia mydas (Green sea turtle), 1174 nucleotides. RefSeq lists it as uncharacterized. The record is from RefSeq and is a predicted model, not a curated record. Lineage: Eukaryota; Metazoa; Chordata; Testudines; Cheloniidae. The transcript has 3 exons.
AUAGGGUGCGGUUAGCAGUUAUGAACUGAGCCCUUUGGAAGCUAGCGCUGGGUGUAGUCAGAGUAGGAGGGACUUAACCAGUUUGUUUGGAAGGGUACAAAGGAGCACUUGCACCUGUAGGGAACCUGAUGAGCUAAUUAACUGACCAGCUGGGUAUCUCUGAGAAGAAAGCAAGCAGUAUAAAAGGCUGAGCAAGGGAGCAAGAAGGCAGCUCUAUAUCACGUUGUGAUGUACCUGGAGCAUAAACAGCAAUAAAGACGCAUGGUGGUGGUUUCCUGCUGAACUGUGCAUGCUGAGUUCGGAAAGAAGGCUUAGCAGCCAGGUUUUACAGGAGCUACAGGGGGAGCCUGUUUCCAAAGAGUCUCAAGCAGAAUUUUGGUUUAAAAAAAAAAAAAGAACUUUCUCAUGACUGGAUAAUGGCAUGAAGAACUCUAUUUAUUGCUUUGGAAGGCUUCUAUGGAAUGGAAGGCUAAGGAGAUCACUGGCUGGACCACAAACUUUGCCAGGAUGCUGCCAUGUAAUGGAAUCGCUAUAGAUCAGGCCUCUCAACAGUCUGGUUCAAGCAAUGCACAAAGUGGGGUACUGGAUGAACAGAAACAGCAAGGUGAAGGUGGAGACCGUGGAAAUAGAUGAAGAAAAGCAACCAGAUGAAUCAUGUGAUUCCAAUCUAAUGACUUCCACAGAUAGUUGAGUAAUGUCACCACCAGGCACAGAGGAAGGUUUUCAAGAAGCAGGAGAGAGUAGUGCUGCACUACUUACUGAUUCAUGUUUUUUAAGCAUCAGGAUUGUGGACUAAACACAGAACAGUUUUUUGGCAAACAAAAUCUGGAAUAUCUGGUGUACCGGCUUCUGAAGACUUACAACAAAAAACUACAACUAAUUUUCAGUGAAGUGUGCACAUCUGUAGGAUUUUUUUGCAUGUUGCUAGUGAGUGUGGCACAAACCGAAAGCAGUGGCAGCUAAAUGACACUCAUCAAAAACUGCAAAUGACCUACUAUGGCACAGAAACACUUAAAUCAUCUUGCUGUUUUGUCUGUGUGUGAACCUGUAAGAAAAUAUUAUUUUAGGGAGGUCACUUAUGACUUUGCAAUGAAAAAGGCCAGAAAUGUGAAGUUAUAAGUGAUAAGGCCUGUCCAUGCCAUUUCAGAAAUAAAAUAUAUUUUUCUUUCAUUAA